GACGAACGCUGGCGGCGUGCUUAACACAUGCAAGUCGAGCGGAAAGGCCCUGCUUUUGUGGGGUGCUCGAGUGGCGAACGGGUGAGUAACACGUGAGUAACCUGCCCUUGACUUUGGGAUAACUUCAGGAAACUGGGGCUAAUACCGGAUAGGAGCUCCUGCUGCAUGGUGGGGGUUGGAAAGUUUCGGCGGUUGGGGAUGGACUCGCGGCUUAUCAGCUUGUUGGUGGGGUAGUGGCUUACCAAGGCUUUGACGGGUAGCCGGCCUGAGAGGGUGACCGGCCACAUUGGGACUGAGAUACGGCCAAGACUCCUACGGGAGGCAGCAGUGGGGAAUAUUGCACAAUGGGCGGAAGCCUGAUGCAGCAACGCCGCGUGCGGGAUGACGGCCUUCGGGUUGUAAACCGCUUUCGCCUGUGACGAAGCGUGAGUGACGGUAAUGGGUAAAGAAGCACCGGCUAACUACGUG
RNAcentral lists this ribosomal RNA (468 nucleotides) under uncultured bacterium. Its description in RNAcentral is "partial 16S ribosomal RNA". It matches the Rfam family "Bacterial small subunit ribosomal RNA", at positions 28 to 507 of the family's 1533-position model. The record is from RNAcentral.